This 262-nucleotide ribosomal RNA is filed under the name uncultured bacterium. Its description in RNAcentral is "partial 16S ribosomal RNA". It matches the Rfam family "Bacterial small subunit ribosomal RNA", at positions 57 to 305 of the family's 1533-position model. The record is from RNAcentral.
GCAAGUCGAGCGAGAACGCCUCCUUCGGGAGGUUAGUAAAGCGGCGAACGGGUGAGUAACACGUGAGCGAUCUACCCGACGGCGGGGGAUAACCCAGGGAAACCUGGGCUAAUACCGCAUACAGCACCGGCUUGGAAGCCGGAUGUGAAAGCUGGCCUCUCGAAGAAGCUGGCACCAUCGGAUGAGCUCGCGGCCUAUCAGCUAGUUGGUGGGGUAACGGCCUACCAAGGCAACGAUCCGUAGCUGGUCUGAGAGGACGACC